GCAAGUCGAACGCACCUUCGAGUUAGUUGCGGACGGGUGACUAACGCGUGAGAAUCUGCCCUUAGGAGGGAAAUAACGGCUGGAAACGGCCGCUAAUACCCCAUAUGCCGAGAGGUGAAACGAGAAAUCGCCUGAGGAUGAGCUCGCGUCUGAUUAGCUAGUUGGUGAGGUAAGAGCUUACCAAGGCAGUGAUCAGUAGCUGGUCUGAGAGGAUGAUC
Molecule: ribosomal RNA, 218 nt
Filed under: uncultured bacterium
Lineage: Bacteria
Description: partial 16S ribosomal RNA
Rfam family: Bacterial small subunit ribosomal RNA
Source: RNAcentral